This 589-nucleotide long non-coding RNA is filed under the name Ananas comosus (pineapple). RNAcentral's name for it is "long non-coding RNA (ACOM_LNC038373)". Lineage: Eukaryota; Viridiplantae; Streptophyta; Magnoliopsida; Poales; Bromeliaceae. The record is from RNAcentral.
UAUAAAAAAAGAGUAACUGGAAAGUAAACAACUAUUGCUGUAAUAAAAAUAUAAGAAUAACACCUCUGUAGAUUUAGCGAUAAAUUAUAACAGUAUAAUAUUUUCAAUUAUUUAUAUUUCAAUUUUACUAUCACAAAUAUGUCCCUUCAAAACCAUAACAGUAUAAUAUAAGUGGGAUAAAAAUGUCAAAACAUAUUAUAGAAAAAUUUAGGGAUAAACCCUAAAUCCACUCAAUUUUAAAUUUAAAUAUUUAAUAAAUAUUUUAGAAAAAGUAAGUUGUCACGUUCCUGGUUGAAAUGAUUCUAUAAUUUUUUUAAAAUCCAAUCUUUCAAAAUUUUAUUUUGAUUAUCCAAUUUUUCGAUAUAUUAGAUUUCAGUCAGUCGAUGAUAUUUUGACUUUAAAAAUCUGAGUGCAUCGCUUUUCGAUAUAUUAGAUUUGAGUCAGUCGACGGUAAAAUUAACUUAAACUCAAUCAAUCUUUCUUUUAUUUUUUAAUGUGCAAUUUAUAUCUAAAUACUUAAUAUUAUAAAAUUAACAUUUAUAUUAAAUACAAAUAAUUUAAACUAUUUAAAAAUUAUUUAUAUAUUUUU